RNAcentral lists this ribosomal RNA (273 nucleotides) under uncultured bacterium. Its description in RNAcentral is "partial 16S ribosomal RNA". It matches the Rfam family "Bacterial small subunit ribosomal RNA", at positions 524 to 796 of the family's 1533-position model. The record is from RNAcentral.
GACGAACCGGACAAACGUUAUUCGGAAUCAUUGGGCUUAAAGGGUGCGUAGGCUGUGCAGAAAGUUGGAUGUGAAAUCUCUCGGCUCAACCGAGAAACUGCGUCCAAAACUACUGUGCUUGAGGAAGAUAGAGGUGAGCGGAACUAAUGGUGGAGCGGUGAAAUGCGUUGAUAUCAUUAGGAACACCUGUGGCGAAAGCGGCUCACUGGGUCUUUUCUGACGCUGAGGCACGAAAGCUAGGGUAGCGAACGGGAUUAGAAACCCCCGUAGUCC